CCUACGGGAGGCAGCAGUAGGGAAUAUUGCUCAAUGGGGGAAACCCUGAAGCAGCAACGCCGCGUGGAGGAUGACGGUUUUCGGAUUGUAAACUCCUUUUGUUAGAGAAGAUAAUGACGGUAUCUAACGAAUAAGCACCGGCUAACUACGUGACAGCAGCCGCGGUAAUACGGAGGGUGCACGCGUUACUCGGAAUCACUGGGCGUAAAGAGCGCGUAGGCGGGAUAGCAAGUCAGAUGUGAAAUCCUAUGGCUUAACCAUAGAACUGCAUUUGAAAUUGUUAUUCUAGAGUAUGGGAGAGGUAGGUGGAAGUCUUGGUGUAGGGGUAAAAUCCGUAGAGAUCAAGAGGAAUACUCAUUGCGAAGGCGACCUGCUGGAACAUAACUGACGCUGAGGCGCGAAAGCGUGGGGAGCAAACAGGAUUAGAUACCCGAGUAGUC
RNAcentral lists this ribosomal RNA (440 nucleotides) under uncultured bacterium. Its description in RNAcentral is "partial 16S ribosomal RNA". It matches the Rfam family "Bacterial small subunit ribosomal RNA", at positions 338 to 795 of the family's 1533-position model. The record is from RNAcentral.